This 978-nucleotide long non-coding RNA is filed under the name Olea europaea subsp. europaea. The record is from RNAcentral. Lineage: Eukaryota; Viridiplantae; Streptophyta; Magnoliopsida; Lamiales; Oleaceae.
UCUCUAAAUUACAUAAUAUGCUUUUUAAAAAUACGCGAUCUAUUGGAGAUGUUCUUCUGCCUUAACAUAAAUGUAUGUUCUUGUAUGAAUGAUACCCAACUAGCGUGUCUUAUAUUCAAGUUUGCCUAAGAAUUAAUAUAUUUGAGAGCUUUAUGAUCCGAGUUAAAGAUAAAUCUCUCGUUGAAUGAGAUACAAUCACCAAUGACAAAGCUUGAACAAUGGCAUAGAUCUCGAUAUCAUAAGUCAAAAAUAAAUAUUUUUUUCCUUGUCUCAUUUUGUUUUUCACUAAAGAAAGACAAUUGGAUGUCCUUCUUGGCUGAGUACUUAUCCAAUUCCCACGAGAUGCAUUACAAUCUGUUACCAAAUAUAACUGAGUUAAAUUUGGAAUAGAUUAGAUGUGCUAUUUUGGAGAUUGUAAUUUAUUUAGUUUCCUUGUAGAUUAAAAGAUUGUACAAAUAUAUGCACAAUAAGCCCUGAUUUUGCACCUCAGGUGGCAUUACCUCAGCUCCCGAUUUCACUUACUUUUUUUUUUCUAAAUCGAAGGGUCGAGGUGUUGCCACCUCGACUUCCUGUUUUUGAGCUUGGUUUUGCACCUGGCUGAGUAGCAUUUUUCAUUCACAAUAGGGCACCACAGAAUAAGGGAAGAAGUUUUUCAGAAAUUAUUCUGGUUUUUUUAUAUGGUAUUAGAACAGUGAUUUUUCCUCUCACCUGGACCUUCAUUACUCGUAUCUUCUUCUUCAGUUGGGCUGUGAGGAUUCCAGCCCUCUACGUUGCAUCUUUUCGAUUCUGGUGACACUGUUGGCGCUCUCUCUCGAAGCUUCAGGUCAGGUUCUCUCUAGUCAGGUUGACACGAACCCCUUUUUUCAAUCAUCGGAGGCGUUGUUGGUAGAUUCGGCCUCCUCUCUGUGUUCCUCAAGUUCUGACGACACCGGAAAAGGCUUCUCCAUUAUGUGUGGUUGGUUCUUAGCUGCCAGUGGG